Molecule: unclassified non-coding RNA, 331 nt
Filed under: soil metagenome
Description: partial contains 5.8S ribosomal RNA, internal transcribed spacer 2, and large subunit ribosomal RNA
Rfam family: 5.8S ribosomal RNA (bases 1-120)
Source: RNAcentral
GAUGAAGAACGUAGCGAAAUGCGAUAAGUUAUGUGAAUUGCAGAAUUCAGUGAAUCAUCGAAUCUUUGAACGCACAUUGCGCCCCCUGGUAUUCCGGGGGGCAUGCCUGUUCGAGCGUCAUUUCACCACUCAAGCCUCGCUUGGUAUUGGGCAACGCGGUCCGCCGCGUGCCUCAAAUCGACCGGCUGGGUCUUCUGUCCCCUAAGCGUUGUGGAAACUAUUCGCUAAAGGGUGCUCGGGAGGCUACGCCGUAAAACAAACCCAUUUCUAAGGUUGACCUCGGAUCAGGUAGGGAUACCCGCUGAACUUAAGCAUAUCAAUAAGCGGAGGA